Molecule: ribosomal RNA, 472 nt
Filed under: uncultured Anaerolineaceae bacterium
Lineage: Bacteria; Bacillati; Chloroflexota; Anaerolineae; Anaerolineales; Anaerolineaceae
Description: bacterial SSU rRNA
Rfam family: Bacterial small subunit ribosomal RNA
Source: RNAcentral
CCUUCGGGUUGUAAAGUGCUUUUUGAGAGGAUGAGGAAGGACAGUACUUUCAGAAUAAGCUUCGGCUAACUACGUGCCAGCAGCCGCGGUAAAACGUAGGAAGCGAGCGUUAUCCGGAUUUACUGGGCGUAAAGCGUGUGUAGGCGGUUUGACAAGUUGGAUGUGAAAGCUCCUGGCUUAACUGGGAGAGGUCGUUCAAAACUGUCAGACUUGAGAGUGGUAGAGGGAGGUGGAAUUCCGGGUGUAGUGGUGAAAUGCGUAGAUAUCCGGAGGAACACCAGUGGCGAAAGCGGCCUCCUGGCCCAUUUCUGACGCUCAGACACGAAAGCUAAGGUAGCAAACGGGAUUAGAGACCCCGGUAGUCUUAGCUGUAAACGAUGUGAACUUAGUGUCGGUGGUGUUAAAUCCAUCGGUACUGAAGCUAACGCGAUAAGUUCACCGCCUGGGGACUACGGCCGCAAGGUUAAAACUC